AGUGAACGCUGGCGGUAGGCCUAACACAUGCAAGUCGAACGGCAGCACAGUAAGAGCUUGCUCUUACGGGUGGCGAGUGGCGGACGGGUGAGGAAUACAUCGGAAUCUACUUUUUCGUGGGGGAUAACGUAGGGAAACUUACGCUAAUACCGCAUACGACCUACGGGUGAAAGCAGGGGAUCUUCGGACCUUGCGCGAUUGAAUGAGCCGAUGUCGGAUUAGCUAGUUGGCGGGGUAAAGGCCCACCAAGGCGACGAUCCGUAGCUGGUCUGAGAGGAUGAUCAGCCACACUGAAACUGGGACACGGCCCAAACUCGUAGGGGAGGAAGAAGGGGGAAAAAUUGAAAAAGGGGGGAAGGCUGAAUCAGGCCAAACGGGGGGGUGAAAGAGGGCCUCGGGGUUGUAAAGCCCUUUGGUGGGAAAGAAAAGGAGGAAGGUUAAAACCCGGCGGUUCGGAGGGAACCAAAGAAUAAGCACCGGCUAACUUCGUG
RNAcentral lists this ribosomal RNA (491 nucleotides) under uncultured bacterium. Its description in RNAcentral is "partial 16S ribosomal RNA". It matches the Rfam family "Bacterial small subunit ribosomal RNA", at positions 30 to 507 of the family's 1533-position model. The record is from RNAcentral.